UACGUAGGGCGCAAGCGUUAUCCGGAAUUAUUGGGCGUAAAGAGCUCGUAGGCGGCUCAGUUAGUCGGGUGUGAAACCCCCGGGCUCAACCCGGGGACGCCACCCGAUACUGCUGUGGCUAGAGUCCGGUAGGGGAGCGUGGAAUUCCUGGUGUAGCGGUGAAAUGCGCAGAUAUCAGGAGGAACACCGGUGGCGAAGGCGGGUCUCUGGGCCGAUACUGACGCUGAGGAGCGAAAGCGUGGGGAGCGAACAGG
This 254-nucleotide ribosomal RNA is filed under the name uncultured bacterium. Its description in RNAcentral is "partial 16S ribosomal RNA". It matches the Rfam family "Bacterial small subunit ribosomal RNA", at positions 524 to 776 of the family's 1533-position model. The record is from RNAcentral.